RNAcentral lists this transfer RNA (77 nucleotides) under Escherichia coli. RNAcentral's name for it is "tRNA-Met". It matches the Rfam family "tRNA". From Rfam's summary of the family: Transfer RNA (tRNA) molecules are approximately 80 nucleotides in length. Their secondary structure includes four short double-helical elements and three loops (D, anti-codon, and T loops). Further hydrogen bonds mediate the characteristic L-shaped molecular structure. tRNAs have two regions of fundamental functional importance: the anti-codon, which is responsible for specific mRNA codon recognition, and the 3' end, to which the tRNAs corresponding amino acid is attached (by aminoacyl-tRNA synthetases). tRNAs cope with the degeneracy of the genetic code in two manners: having more than one tRNA (with a specific anti-codon) for a particular amino acid; and 'wobble' base-pairing, i.e. permitting non-standard base-pairing at the 3rd anti-codon position. The record is from RNAcentral. Lineage: Bacteria; Pseudomonadati; Pseudomonadota; Gammaproteobacteria; Enterobacterales; Enterobacteriaceae.
CGCGGGGUGGAGCAGCCUGUUAGCUCGUCGGGCACAUAACCCGAAGGUCGUCGGUUCAAAACCGGCCCCCGCAACCA